Molecule: ribosomal RNA, 377 nt
Filed under: uncultured eukaryote
Lineage: Eukaryota
Description: partial 18S ribosomal RNA
Rfam family: Eukaryotic small subunit ribosomal RNA
Source: RNAcentral
CAAUAGCGUAUAUUAAAGUUGUUGCAGUUAAAAAGCUCGUAGUUGGAUUUCGGGGCAGCCUGGCUGGUCCGCCGCAAGGCGAGUACUGGUCAGCCGCCCUUCCUCUCGAAAGCCCCGACUGCUCAUUAUUGCAGUGGUCGGGUAGUUCGGGACGUUUACUUUGAAAAAAUUAGAGUGUUCAAGGCAGGCCUACGCCUGAAUACAUUAGCAUGGAAUAAUGGAAGAGGACCUCGGUCCUAUUUUGUUGGUUUCCAGGACCGAAGUAAUGAUUAAGAGGGACAGUUGGGGGCAUUCGUAUUUAAUUGUCAGAGGUGAAAUUCUCGGAUUUAUGAAAGACGAACAACUGCGAAAGCAUUUGCCAAGGAUGUUUUCAUUAA